RNAcentral lists this ribosomal RNA (350 nucleotides) under uncultured bacterium. RNAcentral describes it as "bacterial SSU rRNA". It matches the Rfam family "Bacterial small subunit ribosomal RNA", at positions 8 to 334 of the family's 1533-position model. The record is from RNAcentral.
AGGGUUUGAUUCUGGCUCAGGACGAACGCUGGCGGCGUGCCUAACACAUGCAAGUCGAACGGAGAUAAGCGCUGAUGAUUUAGCUUGCUAGAGAUUCUUGCUUAUCUUAGUGGCGGACGGGUGAGUAACGCGUGAGCAACCUGCCUUUCAGAGGGGGAUAACGUCUUGAAAAGGACGCUAAUACCGCAUGAUAUUAUGGAGCCACAUGGCUCUAUAAUCAAAGGAGCAAUCCGCUGAAAGAUGGGCUCGCGUCCGAUUAGGUAGUUGGCGGGAUAACAGCCCACCAAGCCGACGAUCGGUAGCCGGACUGAGAGGUUGAACGGCCACAUUGGGACUGAGACACGGCCCAG